Molecule: transfer RNA, 74 nt
Filed under: Euzebyaceae bacterium
Lineage: Bacteria; Bacillati; Actinomycetota; Nitriliruptoria; Euzebyales; Euzebyaceae
Description: tRNA-Val
Rfam family: tRNA
About the family: Transfer RNA (tRNA) molecules are approximately 80 nucleotides in length. Their secondary structure includes four short double-helical elements and three loops (D, anti-codon, and T loops).
Source: RNAcentral
GGGCGCUUAGCUCAGUCGGUGAGAGCGCUGCGCUUACAACGCAGAGGUCGGGGGUUCGAUCCCCUCAGCGCCCA